GGAGUAGUACUCAAGUUGGUGAAGAGGUAUCCCUGCUAAGGAUAUAGACUGGGUAACUGGUGCGAGGGUUCGAGUCCCUCCUACUCCGCCA
Molecule: transfer RNA, 91 nt
Filed under: Erysipelotrichaceae bacterium
Lineage: Bacteria; Bacillati; Bacillota; Erysipelotrichia; Erysipelotrichales; Erysipelotrichaceae
Description: tRNA-Ser
Rfam family: tRNA
About the family: Transfer RNA (tRNA) molecules are approximately 80 nucleotides in length. Their secondary structure includes four short double-helical elements and three loops (D, anti-codon, and T loops).
Source: RNAcentral